Molecule: ribosomal RNA, 254 nt
Filed under: uncultured bacterium
Lineage: Bacteria
Description: partial 16S ribosomal RNA
Rfam family: Bacterial small subunit ribosomal RNA
Source: RNAcentral
UACGUAGGUUGCAAGCGUUGUUCGGAGUUACUGGGCGUAAAGAGUGCGUAGGCGGUCCUUUAAGUUUGGUGUGAAAUCUCCCGGCUCAACUGGGAGGGUGCGACGAAAACUGGAGGGCUUGAGUGUGGGAGAGGCAAGCGGAAUUCCUGGUGUAGCGGUGAAAUGCGCAGAUAUCUGGAGGAACACCGGUGGCGAAGGCGGCAUCCUGGACCAACACUGACGCUGAGUGAGCGAAAGCCAGGGGAGCAAACGGG